UACGUAGGGGGCAAGCGUUGUCCGGAUUUAUUGGGCGUAAAGAGCGUGUAGGCGGCUUUACAGGUCCGUUGUGAAAACUCGAGGCUCAACCUCGAGACGCCGGUGGAAACCGUAAAGCUAGAGUCCGGAAGAGGAGAGUGGAAUUCCUGGUGUAGCGGUGAAAUGCGCAGAUAUCAGGAGGAACACCCGUGGCGAAAGCGGCUCUCUGGGACGGUACUGACGCUGAGACGCGAAAGCGUGGGGAGCAAACGGG
RNAcentral lists this ribosomal RNA (253 nucleotides) under uncultured bacterium. RNAcentral's name for it is "partial 16S ribosomal RNA". It matches the Rfam family "Bacterial small subunit ribosomal RNA", at positions 524 to 776 of the family's 1533-position model. The record is from RNAcentral.